Molecule: ribosomal RNA, 446 nt
Filed under: uncultured bacterium
Lineage: Bacteria
Description: partial 16S ribosomal RNA
Rfam family: Bacterial small subunit ribosomal RNA
Source: RNAcentral
UGGGGAAUAUUGCACAAUGGGCGCAAGCCUGAUGCAGCCAUGCCGCGUGUGUGAAGAAGGCCUUCGGUUGUAAAGCACUUUCAGCGAGGAGGAAGGUGGUGAGCUUAAUACGCUCAUCAAUUGACGUUACUCGCAGAAGAAGCACCGGCUAACUCCGUGCCAGCAGCCGCGGUAAUACGGAGGGUGCAAGCGUUAAUCGGAAUUACUGGGCGUAAAGCGCACGCAGGCGGUUUGUUAAGUCAGAUGUGAAAAUCCCCCGGGCUCAACCUGGGAACUGCAUUUGAAACUGGCAAGCUAGAGUCUCGUAGAGGGGGUAGAAUUCCAGGUGUAGCGGUGAAAUGCGUAGAGAUCUGGAGGAAUACCGGUGGCGAAGGCGGCCCCCUGGANGAAGACUGACGCUCAGGUGCGAAAGCGUGGGGAGCAAACAGAUUAGNUACCCUGGUAGU